Long non-coding RNA from Heterocephalus glaber (naked mole-rat), 512 nucleotides. NCBI's taxonomy places the organism in Eukaryota, Metazoa, Chordata, Mammalia, Rodentia, Bathyergidae. The record is from Ensembl.
CGGUUUCUUCCUCGUAGCCCUCCUGCGAGAUAAUGUCCUAUGAGUGGGGAAACUGAGGCACGGCAGGAUUGAAGAAGCUGUCCAAGGCCAUGCAGAGCCAAAGAGGAAGUCACAAAAGGAACUUCUCUCCUGGAUUUACUUCUGACUUCCUGGGAAGAAGUGAUUAUUGAAGCAGAAGUACUGGCGCUCCUGGAAAUCAGAGAGUGGCUUUCACACACAGGAUUAAAAUCCCCAAGAAAAACCAUGUCACAAAAGCUCUGACAUGGGCUCUAAAUGGGCACACCAUUCUCAGAAUUUCACAGGAGAGUGAGGUGCAAUCCCACAACCAAGCAACCUGAAGGAGAACACAGCGCAAGCAGGAUGGGCAUAUCUCAUAAUUGGAAUUCUGAGGCUACAAGAAAGAGUAGGGAUCUUGAUAAGGAGUAAAAAGAAUUGGGAUUCAAAAACGCCAAUAUGACUGCAUAGAGGAUCCGUAACUUCUCCUGCACCAGCUUAGGCAGAAGGCUCAGCAC